Molecule: ribosomal RNA, 770 nt
Filed under: uncultured bacterium
Lineage: Bacteria
Description: bacterial SSU rRNA
Rfam family: Bacterial small subunit ribosomal RNA
Source: RNAcentral
AGAGUUUGAUCCUGGCUCAGGACGAACGCUGGCGGCAUGCCUAAUACAUGCAAGUCGAACGCUUUGACUUCACCGGGUGCUUGCACCCACCGAAGUCAAGGAGUGGCGGACGGGUGAGUAACACGUGGGUAACCUGCCCAUAAGAGGGGGAUAACAUUCGGAAACGGAUGCUAAUACCGCAUAUUUCUAAACGUCACAUGACGAAUAGAAGAAAGGUGGCUUCGGCUACCGCUCAUGGAUGGACCCGCGGCGUAUUAGCUAGUUGGUGAGGUAAUGGCUCACCAAGGCGAUGAUACGUAGCCGACCUGAGAGGGUGAUCGGCCACACUGGGACUGAGACACGGCCCAGACUCCUACGGGAGGCAGCAGUAGGGAAUCUUCCGCAAUGGACGAAAGUCUGACGGAGCAAUGCCGCGUGAGUGAAGAAGGUUUUCGGAUCGUAAAACUCUGUUGUUAGAGAAGAACAAGGAUGAGAGUAACUGCUCAUCCCCUGACGGUAUCUAACCAGAAAGCCACGGCUAACUACGUGCCAGCAGCCGCGGUAAUACGUAGGUGGCAAGCGUUGUCCGGAUUUAUUGGGCGUAAAGCGAGCGCAGGCGGUUCUUUAAGUCUGAUGUGAAAGCCCCCGGCUCAACCGGGGAAGGUCAUUGGAAACUGGGGAACUUGAGUGCAGAAGAGGAGAGUGGAAUUCCACGUGUAGCGGUGAAAUGCGUAGAUAUGUGGAGGAACACCAGUGGCGAAGGCGACUCUCUGGUCUGUAACUGACGCUGA